ACUUAAAUUGAAGAGUUUGAUCAUGGCUCAGAUUGAACGCUGGCGGCAGGCCUAACACAUGCAAGUCGAGCGGUAGCACAGAGAGCUUGCUCUCGGGUGACGAGCGGCGGACGGGUGAGUAAUGUCUGGGAAACUGCCUGAUGGAGGGGGAUAACUACUGGAAACGGUAGCUAAUACCGCAUAACGUCGCAAGACCAAAGUGGGGGACCUUCGGGCCUCAUGCCAUCAGAUGUGCCCAGAUGGGAUUAGCUAGUAGGUGGGGUAACGGCUCACCUAGGCGACGAUCCCUAGCUGGUCUGAGAGGAUGACCAGCCACACUGGAACUGAGACACGGUCCAGACUCCUACGGGAGGCAGCAGUGGGGAAUAUUGCACAAUGGGCGCAAGCCUGAUGCAGCCAUGCCGCGUGUGUGAAGAAGGCCUUCGGGUUGUAAAGCACUUUCAGCGGGGAGGAAGGCGUUAAGGUUAAUAACCUUAUCGAUUGACGUUACCCGCAGAAGAAGCACCGGCUAACUCCGUGCCAGCAGCCGCGGUAAUACGGAGGGUGCAAGCGUUAAUCGGAAUUACUGGGCGUAAAGCGCACGCAGGCGGUCUGUCAAGUCGGAUGUGAAAUCCCCGGGCUCAACCUGGGAACUGCAUUCGAAACUGGCAGGCUAGAGUCUUGUAGAGGGGGGUAGAAUUCCAGGUGUAGCGGUGAAAUGCGUAGAGAUCUGGAGGAAUACCGGUGGCGAAGGCGGCCCCCUGGACAAAGACUGACGCUCAGGUGCGAAAGCGUGGGGAGCAAACAGGAUUAGAUACCCUGGUAGUCCACGCCGUAAACGAUGUCGAUUUGGAGGUUGUGCCCUUGAGGCGUGGCUUCCGGAGCUAACGCGUUAAAUCGACCGCCUGGGGAGUACGGCCGCAAGGUUAAAACUCAAAUGAAUUGACGGGGGCCCGCACAAGCGGUGGAGCAUGUGGUUUAAUUCGAUGCAACGCGAAGAACCUUACCUGGUCUUGACAUCCACAGAACUUAGCAGAGAUGCAUUGGUGCCUUCGGGAACUGUGAGACAGGUGCUGCAUGGCUGUCGUCAGCUCGUGUUGUGAAAUGUUGGGUUAAGUCCCGCAACGAGCGCAACCCUUAUCCUUUGUUGCCAGCGGUCCGGCCGGGAACUCAAAGGAGACUGCCAGUGAUAAACUGGAGGAAGGUGGGGAUGACGUCAAGUCAUCAUGGCCCUUACGACCAGGGCUACACACGUGCUACAAUGGCAUAUACAAAGAGAAGCGACCUCGCGAGAGCAAGCGGACCUCAUAAAGUAUGUCGUAGUCCGGAUUGGAGUCUGCAACUCGACUCCAUGAAGUCGGAAUCGCUAGUAAUCGUAGAUCAGAAUGCUACGGUGAAUACGUUCCCGGGCCUUGUACACACCGCCCGUCACACCAUGGGAGUGGGUUGCAAAAGAAGUAGGUAGCUUAACCUUCGGGAGGGCGCUUACCACUUUGUGAUUCAUGACUGGGGUGAAGUCGUAACAAGGUAACCGUAGGGGAACCUGCGGUUGGAUCACCUCCUUACCUUAAAGAA
This 1554-nucleotide ribosomal RNA is filed under the name Klebsiella pneumoniae subsp. pneumoniae KPNIH4. RNAcentral describes it as "bacterial SSU rRNA". It matches the Rfam family "Bacterial small subunit ribosomal RNA". The record is from RNAcentral. Lineage: Bacteria; Pseudomonadati; Pseudomonadota; Gammaproteobacteria; Enterobacterales; Enterobacteriaceae.